UGAGCACGGCCCCAACAGAUCGGCGUCUCCAGAACGCCUCUGACAAAAGGAGCCGACAUGCCUGAUGCCUUGUGGCCUGGGAAAGUGGGAGGAGGGGUCAGAGCCAGGAGCAGACAGCAAAGUAUGAGCUCCUGGACCCUAUUCAGCAGUCUGCUCACCUGAACAGAGAUAAGAUACCCAACUGGGGCUGGUUAGCCUGGAGGAGGGCUCAGAAGGCAAGAAGGAUCUGGCUCCCCUUUGAUGUUCCCAUCUCCUCCUGCCAUCUCCACCAUCCAAUGACUGGUCCCUUAAGGGCCUCUUCGCUUCUUCCCCUGCCUGCCUCUGGAUGAGGGGUAUAUACAGGGAUGCCUGGGUGGCUCAGCGGUUGAGUGCCUGCCUUCAGCCCAGGACGUGAUCCUGGGGUCCUGGAAUCGAGUCCUGCAUUGAGCUCCUCGCAGGGAGCCUGCGUCUCCAUCUGCCUGUCUCUGCCUCUCUCUGUGUGUCUCUCAUGAAUAAAUAAAUAAAAUCUUUUUAAAAAUUAGGUAUA
Molecule: long non-coding RNA, 526 nt
Filed under: Canis lupus dingo (dingo)
Lineage: Eukaryota; Metazoa; Chordata; Mammalia; Carnivora; Canidae
Description: lncRNA (ENSCAFG00020005252.1)
Source: RNAcentral